Molecule: long non-coding RNA, 226 nt
Filed under: Elaeis guineensis (African oil palm)
Lineage: Eukaryota; Viridiplantae; Streptophyta; Magnoliopsida; Arecales; Arecaceae
Description: long non-coding RNA (EGUI_LNC034431)
Source: RNAcentral
GAGUGGUGAGAUCUUGUAAGAAAAGAUUUUUGGAGUGACUUUUGAGGAGAACCGAUGGCUAUUAGGCAGUGGUGCAAUUCAUUCUUUAGAAGGACGAUCGGCAGUGGACUUGUAAAAAAGGCUACAACACUAUAUUAAAUUGGGAAGGAUUCUGCUCUCUUCUGUGUGGAUCACCAUUGGAGAAUAUCUAUUUUGGUAUCUUAUGGGGACCAUCCUCGCACCGGAU